UGAAGUAUGGUGUAAUGGUAGCACUACAGAUUUUGGUUCUGUUAGUCCCGGUUCGAAUCCGAGUACUUCAA
Molecule: transfer RNA, 71 nt
Filed under: Caudoviricetes sp.
Lineage: Duplodnaviria; Heunggongvirae; Uroviricota; Caudoviricetes
Also listed under: 1 other name
Description: tRNA-Gln
Rfam family: tRNA
About the family: Transfer RNA (tRNA) molecules are approximately 80 nucleotides in length. Their secondary structure includes four short double-helical elements and three loops (D, anti-codon, and T loops).
Source: RNAcentral